AAGCUGCCCCAGAGCUCACCAUCUUGCACAAACACUUACGCAUUUGUUCCUUCCCUUCUCAGAUUCCUCUGUCUGGUUGGUAUUGGCAGCUGGAUUAUCAAGAUGUCUUGAGAAAGUACUUCUGCAAGUAUUUUUCAUGUAAUCAAAGCCGUUAGCACUGAAAUAUCUUCCUCAGAAAGGAUUCUCCUGUGCUGGUCUCAGGAUCGUACUUCAAAAACAAGAACAGAGCUACUUCAUGCAUAUACUGCACACCUAUCCUAAAGUCACAUGGGCCAUGGCACAGUGGUGGGUAUAAUUCUAUGUUUGUCCAAAUUACAGCAUCUCAUCUUUUGUUCUCAGUUGGUUGGGAUCAACAGCUCCUCUCUCAGAAUUUAUUAAUUGCCCCUCCUGUAAGGCUGUAGCCUUUGCACUCAGGCUUCAUCAUCUCUUUUUGUGAAAUGCUUGGGUAGACAGGAGAGUGAGUGGUGAGGAAGAGAGGAAAUGAGAUGUGUAGCUGUUGUCUUGUGUAAAGCAAACUGACACACAGACUUUGGGAUUUUAGUUUGGUUCUAGCCUAAAACAUUAUCAUGCCCAAAACAGAGAUAUAAAAUCUUUUUCCAAGCAAAUUUUUAUGCUGUCCUAUGAAUUCAUCUAAGUGUUAGGCUUUACAUGGACAGUUAGAUUUGUGUUCUAACAGGGAACAGAAAUCCUAUAAAGGGAACAGAAAAGAAUAAUUAGUGAGAAGAGCUGGGUUACUUCAAAGCCAGAUUAAGUCAAAACUAUGAGCAAGGGGUAGCUUAUGCUUCCCUAUGGAAGGAGAUUUUGGAUGAAGCGAACCAGCACCUUGAUUAGGGUGACAGCUUAGUGUAACCCACUGGUGAACUGAAGAUAGAAAUAGAGCAAAAGAGGUUUGUGUUUUCCCAAAAUAAUAAACAUAUGUGGAUAAAUUAUGUGUAACCUUAG
RNAcentral lists this long non-coding RNA (942 nucleotides) under Numida meleagris (helmeted guineafowl). RNAcentral's name for it is "lncRNA (ENSNMEG00000022712.1)". The record is from RNAcentral. Lineage: Eukaryota; Metazoa; Chordata; Aves; Galliformes; Numididae.